AGUGUGUAAGACGCUCACGGGCGCGCGGACUAUCGGGCGGCUAGGCUCUCUGAGGAGGCUGCCACAGUGAAGCAACCGUGACAAGUGGUGCCCGACCAGGGACCUGAACGAGGAAGGUCUGCCAGAGCAGAGAAAGUGAAACUGAUCAGACGAACUACGAACCCCUGGACGGGAGAGUCUGCCGGCGGAGAAUAUAAGACCCCAGCAGAACGACACUGGCAACUGCUAGAGGAAAAGAGGCAAGUUUAUCCAAAAGUGUUAUGGAAAUCCCCAGAAGAAGGACAAUGGAAAGGUCCGGUGGAUUUGCUGACGUGGGGACGAGGGUAUGCUUGUGUUUUUACAGGAGAUGGACAAACCGUGUGGGUGCCCUCCAGGUGUGUGUGACCAUGGAACGGGAGACCGGAGGGAUCCAUGGUAUUCAACCGUGGGCCUGUUACCUCCAGUACGAGCCAUGAGCCAGCGGAAUCUGAAUGCAAAGACAGAACAAGGGCCGACCGGAGUCACAAUGACAUCCAACCCCAUAACAUGGGGACAGAUCAAGAAAACGACACAAGAAGCUGAGAA
This 564-nucleotide long non-coding RNA is filed under the name Homo sapiens (human). RNAcentral's name for it is "long non-coding RNA NONHSAT180003.1". Lineage: Eukaryota; Metazoa; Chordata; Mammalia; Primates; Hominidae. The record is from RNAcentral.